GUUGGAAGCUGUACGCAGGUUUGCCUGAUGCAGAAGCCUAUAUUCCUUCCACUCCAUGAUGCUGAAACAGGUUUUCAUUCUUCCCUUUCUCCCAGGAACACCAGCCCCAUCUUUUCACCAUGGAGCUUCCAGAGCUGACUUUGAAGUAUAAAGAGAAAGACCGGAUGUUGGGCCACAGUAGAGGGCUUCCACCAAAGGAGGGGUCUGGGGGCAAAGCAGGCAAAGAGGCAAGCUCCAGGCAGGGGCUGCCAGCAAGCAGGCUUCUCUCGAUGGGUACAACAGUGCUGUAAAGCUGACAAACAGAGUUUGGCUUCACUUGAAGGUGUGAAAAGAACAGCCUGACUCUGAGAGGCAAGUCCGCCAAGCCCAGGACCCUAGGGCACCUGGUUCUCACCAUUGCCUGCAAUGCCGCAGCCACUUCCCAAGUCAGGAGGGCAGCUGAAGUCCUGCACUGGGGACAGUUGGGUCAGCUGUGUCUGUUAGACAUCCCCCGAUGACACAGAAUGCCUCUCUCCUCUGAGAGCAGGACAGUGUGUUUAGACAGUCCCUGGUAAAUGUGAGCAGCCAUGAGAAAGGCAGCCUUAAGUGGCUCAAAUUAACCUCUUCUAUGGAUACAGAGUUGAGCUCCAUCAUUCACUCCCCACGAGAGAAAGAUUGCUGUGGCCUUAAGCAGUGGAAGCAGAACUGUUAUUAUUAUUUUUAAGUUGAUGCAAAAAAGGACUUCUUUCUCCACUUUGAAUAUGUUGUCAUCUUGGGUGAGGCAAGAGGACCAUGUAAGGUGGUGACAAGCACUGUUGGCUUUUUUGGGAGAGCAUUGGCUGACUCCAUCCACUACUCUGGGGUGACAAGACGGGAAAAACCACGGUUUACCAGGCAGGUGUUGGGAUUAAGAUACACUUUCAUUUUCAAAGCACUUUGCAGUCAUUAACUAAGUGCUCACCCCUAAUUCUCUUCUAGGUUGAGCUUGGCCAUGGUCUCCCCAUGCUGUCUCCCUUGCCUCUUCUCUGAGUCUCAAGGAACAUGCUGUCACUGGCAGAUAUAAGAACAUCUUGUGCUUUAUAUAUAUUUUUAAACCUUACUGGGUUGCUUGUCUAACUCACCCCUCCAGUAGCUUAGUGAGAUUAAUGCCUCUUUCUAAACUGUGAUAACCAAGAGAUACUUUCCAGCAAAUGCGAAUGGGGCUUUAAAGUGCUGCGAGGCAGGAUGACAAGAUCUUGGGUGAGUUUCAGGUAUUACAAAGAACAUUUUGAUUUCCUUUUCAGAGGAAAUGUAGAAGGGCUUUAUCAGCGUAGGUAACACUAUAGAGCUGAGUGAAAUGUAAAUGAAAUUCCCAGUUUUCAUUUUCCCGCUUCAUUUGAUAUUUGUGGGUUUUAGAAGUAGGACCAGCUGGAUUCAUCUGCAGAAAAAGCCAUGUGGCUGCGGAGCUCCUUCCGUUGUUAAGAAGUGUGCCUUUGGGCUAAGGGGAAAUGUUCUGAAGGCAGAUCUGGAUGUGAAUUUUGGUUCAGAUAUUUAUUAACCGUGGGACCCUAGGCAAGCUGGUUUCUGAGCUUUGAUUUCCUCAUCUGUAAAAGGAGGAUAAUAAUGGAUACCUCAAAGAGUUAUAAAGAUCAGAAGUAAAAUACAUGCAAAGAAGUAGAGAGGGCUGUUUCAAGUCGCUUACUUUUAUUUUAACAUACAGCUGGUGGGCCAGGAGAGAGUGAAAACAAAGCCACUGGAUAGUGAGAGGAUAGAGGGUGCUCCACAGACGCGAACUGCAUCUUUAUGUUUACAUAGAAGGGAGAGUGAAGGAGCAAAUGUGGGCAACAGCUGUCAGUGACACAUCAUUACCCCAACAGCCAGAAACAAGAUAAGCGCCUUGCAGGGGCCCUUAACUGACUGCUGGGUUCGAUGGUUCAAAGAGAAAAAGCACGUGAUAACUUUGAAGGAGGCUGCCUGGCUGAGCUGAUCGGAUCACCUAGAGACUGGAAAUGCUUUCUGGCAGUGCCUGAUCCUCUACUGGGUGUUCAACACUGGCUGCAUUUAUGGAGACCACAGACAAAAGAUGGAAACAGCCUCCACCGGCAUGGGGAUCAGGCAUGGGGCAAACACAGGAGACAAAACAGGAGAAUCUCCCGAGAACACCCUCUGAUCAGCACUCUGCAUGCAAUUUCCAUCUCAGACUCUGUUUCUAGGAAGACUUUCAGGCAGCUGACACUGGACGUGGUUGUGAGUUGCAGGCCCUAAUGAAAAAUUGGAGAGGAAGCAGGUGGCCGGCUGAUGAAAUGAUAACCAGAAGGCCUGUGGGCUUGGGUGGCUGAGGCUGAGGCUACUGAGUGUUGAAGAGAGAGAGGCAGAGGCGCAGGAUGACUCAUCACUGGUUUCAGGCAAACUGUGAAAGCCAGAGCACUUCCUUGGCAGCAUUUAAGAAAACCCCGAUGAUCUGCAGCUGGAAGGCAGGUUGGCUGGAGGACCAGUCUGAACCCUGAUCUGAAGUCACCUGCCCUAUCUGGACAUUCCAUAGACUACCACUUUUACCCACGACUUCGAUGUGGCAUGCUCAUUGGACCAGAUAAGCAAGCAGUGGCAAGUGGAUUGGAGGUCUUGGUAACCAGUUCAACCAAAAUCCUGGGACAGCUGUUCCCUGAUGCGGCACACUUCCUAGAAGAAGCAAGUGAAUUUAAAGCAGAGUGAACUGUAGAGGAGUUCACGACCAAAUCUCUGAUGCUUUCCCCAGAUCUUUCUUCAGGGCCAACACAUCCAUUGCUCAGCUGUGAUAGACAGCAGUCAGGGGUGGCUCACCUCUCUCACUGGGAAUUGCUCUCAGCAGUAGGGAACUCAUUCAGGGUUAAGGCAUCUCCUUGAGGAGGCCCAUGUUCAAUUACUGGUUGACACAGGAAUAUGAAGGCCUGGCCCUCGUCUCAGCUUGGAAUAAAUCUGAAGGCCCAUCACAGCUUCAGAGAUGCUUGGAGAAGGCUGAGGUCUCCCCUGUAACCUUAUGAGAACCUUGAGUUGUUGAACUCAUUAAUUCUUUGGGACCAUCUUCCUGAUGUUCAAGUUUGUGAAACAGGCUUUCCCUUUAAGAUUUGUUUUCCUCAAAAUACAAGACUAUUGAUGCUUCAGUUUUGAAGUGGAUUCUGCACUCAAGAAAUGUACCAUUGAAGAAUGGGACUGGUAGGAAGGGAAAAAAACUAAAAGGAAACGCAUUUUCGAGUUGCACAUCAUGAUCAGGCACAGAGUCCAGAUACACUUGGAGUAGCAAGCAUCCAUCCUUGUGGAGACGCACAUGAACCAGGACUCUCUGCACCCACCCCUCUCAAGUUUUAUUUUCCGACGGCUGUAAUGUUCCAGGACACCUGCCAUCAUGGAGGGUUAUCCAGCACCUGGAGGAUACCUGCUACCUAUUUUGUGAACAAUUUGGCAUGAGGAGAGAAAGGAACCUGAAGUUUUUAGCAAGGAAGGAGGAAGACAAGGAGGAAGAGAAAGAAGAAAAAAAAGGAAAAAAAAAGGCAGACUUCAUAUGUCCCUCCCAACUCUUUUUUUAUCCACCUCUUAAAGGCCAAGGUUAUUUACUCAUAUUUUAGUAUUAUGUUUAAGCAAUAAAAAGGUGUUUUUAUUAAAGGGUCAGGUAAAUAGAAUUUUUAAAAUACCUAGGUCAGUAAAUGAGAUUUCAGUCAUUGUACAGGUGUCUUUGACUUCUGCACUUUCUAUAGUGAUGGCUGCACCAGCACAUUCAGAGGUGUUUGGCACAUGUUCUAGCCUCUGGACGCUCCGCUUCUUUUGAAUUGACUGAGGGAUGUGCACGGGUGGGAGGAGUCCCUGAUGUUGACACAGGUGUUGUCUUUCUGGAUCAGUGUUUUUUUUUUUUUUAAUCUAGAGUGUUUCUGAAAAGAAGAGGGAUUUCAUUCAUUGUGUACCUGUAGACUGUGUGUCAAUAUCUGUUUAUUAACUGCUUACUUUGGAUUUAGAGUUAAUCUUUGUAUUUACAUACAUUAGCUUAGGG
RNAcentral lists this long non-coding RNA (3979 nucleotides) under Homo sapiens (human). Its description in RNAcentral is "HSALNT0026888". The record is from RNAcentral. Lineage: Eukaryota; Metazoa; Chordata; Mammalia; Primates; Hominidae.